CAGAUUCUUCCAGUGAUCCCUACAGUACUGACUAGAUUCUCUUCAGCCAUGCCAUCCUAUAGCAUGUGUUCCUGGGUCCUGCUGUUAUCUGUGCUGAAGGUCAUAACCGUUCCUGUAUCGACCUUCUCUUCAGUAAAGGUGAAUCUUCAUGACAAUGCUACUCUCCCCUGCACUCAGACAUGUUCUGGUCUGGUCACAUGGACUGUGUCCCAUAAACAACUUGACAUUCUGGCUCAGUGUAACCAGACAUCCUGUCAGUCAAAGGAGGGAUUUCACAUGUCACAUGAUCAGUACCUGAAGGGAGAUCUCUCCCUCACCAUCACUGAUGUUGAUUACACUAAGAGGACCUGGUACACCUGUGAGUGUGAUGGUGUAGUCAUCUAUGAUGUGAGUCUAUGGAUAGAGGGUAAGGUUUGUUCUCUCAGUCUUUGCUAA
Molecule: long non-coding RNA, 435 nt
Organism: Electrophorus electricus (electric eel)
Lineage: Eukaryota; Metazoa; Chordata; Actinopteri; Gymnotiformes; Gymnotidae
Source: Ensembl